CAGUAGCCGCGGGAAUACGUAGGGGGCGAGCGUUGUCCGAAGUUACUGGGCGUAAAGCGCGCGUAGGCGGCUUCUUAAGUCUGAGGUGAAAGGUUCAACGCUUAACGUGAACAGUGCCUUGGAUACUGGGGAGCUUGAGUAUGGGAGAGGGCAGUGGAAUGGCUGGUGUAGCGGUGAAAUGCGUAGAUAUCAGUCGGAACACCCAUGGCGAAGGCAGCUGCCUGGCCUAAUACUGACGCUGAGGUGCGAAAGCGUGGGGAGCGAACAGGAUUAGAUACCCGGGUAGUCCCUGUCUCUUAUA
Molecule: ribosomal RNA, 301 nt
Filed under: uncultured bacterium
Lineage: Bacteria
Description: partial 16S ribosomal RNA
Rfam family: Bacterial small subunit ribosomal RNA
Source: RNAcentral